Mytilus trossulus (common blue mussel) is the source of this 532-nucleotide long non-coding RNA. RefSeq lists it as uncharacterized. The record is from RefSeq and is a predicted model, not a curated record. Lineage: Eukaryota; Metazoa; Mollusca; Bivalvia; Mytilida; Mytilidae. The transcript has 3 exons.
AUUAUAUUCUAUGAAAUUAUCAAAUAUUAAAAUACAAAUUCUAUGUGAUACUUGGAAGAUCCUGCAGUUAAUGUACUAAAACAAUGACUGCCGUUCAAUGAGAAGGUGAAGGGGAAGAUGGACAAUGUGUGUUUUCUUUGAGCAAUAUCCCUUAUGUCAUAUUGAAUUUAAAAAAUAUAUGAAUCAGAAAAAGAUGCCCUCCAGGAUUGUGGUGUAGUGUUAGUCAUAGAUACUGAAGAAACCUGGCCUGAAUCAGAAAAAGAUGUCCUCCAGGAUUGUGGUGUAGUGUUAGUCAUAGAUACUGAAGAAACCUGGCCUGAAUCAGAAAAAGAUGUCCUCCAGGAUUGUGGUGUAGUGUUAGUCAUAGAUACUGAAGAAACACAGCCAUGUUUUACACAUCUACGAGUUACCAAUUAUAAUUCUUUAUCCUCUUGUAUUAAACAAGUGAUGGAACAACAUAGAGGACAUAACCUACUUUCCAGUGAGCUUUAUAAAUCACAGUUACGUAAACAAGUUAGUCUGAUCUGUUCAG